Molecule: ribosomal RNA, 500 nt
Filed under: uncultured bacterium
Lineage: Bacteria
Description: partial 16S ribosomal RNA
Rfam family: Bacterial small subunit ribosomal RNA
Source: RNAcentral
AUUGAACGCUGGCGGAAUGCUUUACACAUGCAGGUCGAACGGCAGCACGGACUUCGGUCUGGUGGCGAGUGGCGAACGGGUGAGUAAUGUAUCGGAACGUGCCCAGUCGUGGGGGAUAACGUAGUGAAAAUUACGCUAAUACCGCAUACGAUCUAUGGAUGAAAGCGGGGGAUCGCAAGACCUCGCGCGAUUGGAGCGGCCGAUAUCAGAUUAGGUAGUUGGUGGGGUAAAGGCCCACCAAGCCAACGAUCUGUAGCUGGUCUGAGAGGACGACCAGCCAAACUGGAACUGAGACACGGUCCAGACUCCUACGGGAGGCAGCAGUGGGGAAUUUUGGACAAGGGGCGAAAGCCUGAUCCAGCCAUUCCGCGUGCAGGAUGAAGGCCCUCGGGUUGUAAACUGCUUUUGUACAGAACGAAAAGGUUUCUACUAAUACUAGGAGCUCAUGACGGUACUGUAAGAAUAAGCACCGGCUAACUACGUGCCAGCAGCCGCCGUAA